This is a long non-coding RNA of Oncorhynchus keta (chum salmon), 2685 nucleotides long. RefSeq lists it as uncharacterized. The record is from RefSeq and is a predicted model, not a curated record. The transcript is spliced from 2 exons. Lineage: Eukaryota; Metazoa; Chordata; Actinopteri; Salmoniformes; Salmonidae.
ACUUUCGGUUUUGGCAUCCAGAGUAAAACCAGGGACAGAGAACAGAACAACAAGAUCAAAGUGAAAGUGAAUCCAGCCAAUCUUUUAAAUAGUGCCUGUGCGUUAGUGUUUACCUCAGGGUUUAAACUUUAACAUCAGGAGUAUGAGUAAUAUUUAAGUUUAAAAAGACAAGUGUGAUGUUUUAAACUGUAUGUGGGAAUAUUUGUGCAAGUAUCCCUUAAUCAUUGUUCAUAUAAAGUACUGACAUAAUUGAUAUCUUUGCCAUGAUUUCUGUCUUUCAAAUCAGUAUAUUCUGUGAUUUUAUUGAGAAGAGAGUAGGAGAAUAGAAGGGAAUAUUAGUGAACCAGCAGUGUAUUGUAUAGUACUGUACACAGCAAAUUGGCCAGUUUAACCUAGUGUUGAUUUUCAGUGGAACAUUUCUAGUGUUGUUUCAGAAGUUAAAUUAACUUAACACUUUGUGGUGUAAAAUAACCCCGGUAUUACUAUUAAUACCCAAAGUUGAGUGUGAUUGUGUAAUUUUUGCUUUGUGGUAGAGUAAAACACUCAAAACCACACCAAUCAUUAUCAUAUUUCCCAGCAUGCUAUAGCAUGUUGAUUUUCAGAAUGGUUUGUUCAAUAUCUGAUUGUUUAAUCAAUGUACAUUGAUUGGUUGAUUAAUGUUAUGCUAUACAAAGAUAAAUAACAUACAUUUUAGUAGUUGGUCAAAUAGCAACGGUUAUUGAAAUGAUCGCUCCAGUUUAGAUUUAGAUAGAUGAGACUAUCAAUCUUCCCUACUCUGGCAGUCAUUCUGAAUGCAGGUUGUGGGUGAUUAAAUGUUCCAAUUGUUGGAUAUCCUCACUCUCGCUUGAUUCCAAUAGUGACAUGUAGAGUAGGCCGGAAGGCUAAACUGAAAAACCUAAACUGAAACUGAAAAACCUAACCUCUAUCAAAUAAAAAGAUGGUGGAGCCGAAAAAGUACUUCUGUGCAAGGGUGUUUAUAUACAUAGUGAAUCCGGAAGAAAAACAACAGUACUGCCAUCAAAAAUGUACAUUAUGGGACAGCUAAAAACAAUGCUGCUCCAUCAACAGCUCAAUCCAAAAGGGUCCCUUUGAACUGAAAGAGAGGCUCCUUUUGUAGGUGAAGCCAUUCCCAUCAGAACAUAUUAAACACUAAUUAAUUAGGUAAUUACCAUCAUCAAAGCCUAUAUUUUCCACUCAGCUAAGCAUAAUGAAUGAUGUACAUUGCACCUUUGUAAUCCGUUUCUCAUGAUACAUUAUAACACAUUUACAAAAUCCCAUCCCUACCGACAUGGUGUCUUCCAAUACGCCCAUUCACAUGAACGAGCCAUUCCGGACAGGCUCUACAAAGCCAGCUUGAUUGCCGUAGCUCUCGUCCUCAUACCAGCAUACCAGGAAGCUACAGAAAUGGAGAGAGAGGAACAGAACCAAACAAACAGCGCGCUCAUCCAUAACAUGAAGUACAAUUAACGUUGCUUUACCUAAACGCUUGUCUGUAUGUCAUAAACUGUUGCUGACGGGAGUUUACCGUUUGCAUCAAGAACGGUCCACCACCCAAAGGACAUUCAGCCAACUUGACACGACUGUGGGAAGCAUUGGAGUCAACAUGGGCCAGCAUCCCUGUGGAAAGUGUUUGACAGUGGGGAACUCGGGGGUAGCUAAAUAUUACUAAGGUGUUCCUAAUGUUUGGUAUACCCAGUAUAUACAGUGCAUCCCGGACGAGACCCCAAAUGUUACUAAACCACCUACCUAGCCUAUUGAUAUUGCUACUCAUGCUAAGUCUAGGGUUCCUAUGGUCUGUAACCAAGGUGUACAUUUAAGUGAGAAGUCUGAGUAUGCAGACAUUGUUGUAUGCAUGGGGGAAAAAAAGUUAUGCGAAUACCUUGUAAUGACAAAUACCAUGAAAUGUCAAAUCAGAGAUUUUUGUGGCAGAACCCACUCAAUGUCUAAGUGUAUGUGUAACAGUAUAGUUUCCGUCCCUCUCCUUGCCCCAGCCUGGGCUCGAACCAGGAACCCUCUGUACAAAUCAACCACAGUCACUCACAAAGUAUCGUUACCCAUCGCGCCACAAAAUCCACGGCCCUUGCAGAGCAAGGGGAACCACUACUUCAAGGUCUCAGAGCGUGUGACGCUACCGAUCAAUACGCUAUUAGUGCGCACCACCGCUAACUAGUUAGCCAUUUCACAUCAGUCACAUAUGUACAAAUACUUUAAACUUCAUACUGUGUUUCAUGUUCAGUGUUAUACUACAUUCUCCGAAAUGAUCCUCUCUGUUUAGACUUUGUUUGUUGUUGGCAUUUCUUGAUGACUUUUACAGCCUUGCUUUGUGUCCGAGCCGCUUCAAUUGAAAAUUGACAUUUCAAAACCAUCCCUGAUGUUUUUCAAAAGCGUGUUUUCACCUUGACACUAUAUACUUGGAAGUGCUCAGUGAUAUUGCCCUCAUAUAUUUGUGAUAGUGUUUUCAUGCUGACUCUAAUACUACGUUAUUAGGGAUAAACUAUUCAGAUCAAAACAAAUAUCUAGGACAGACAUUUUAGUCAGCAUUAUACAAUCUUUGGUUAUUUUAUUUUUAACAGUAUCAUUUUCGAUACACAUGGUAGGAUUCAUUUAUAAGGCUUAGUUGUACUUGUGGCUUCUGCCAGUGCAAAAUAUAUCCAGUAGGAAAUUAAAUUAUUACUCUUAAUUGCU